RNAcentral lists this microRNA precursor (79 nucleotides) under Saimiri boliviensis boliviensis (Bolivian squirrel monkey). RNAcentral describes it as "miRNA (ENSSBOG00000019323.1)". The record is from RNAcentral. Lineage: Eukaryota; Metazoa; Chordata; Mammalia; Primates; Cebidae.
UUAGGUUGGUGCAAAAGUAAUUGCGGUUUGUCAUUACUUUCAACGGUAAAAACCUCAAUUACUUUUGCACCAACUAAAU